RNAcentral lists this ribosomal RNA (253 nucleotides) under uncultured bacterium. RNAcentral describes it as "partial 16S ribosomal RNA". It matches the Rfam family "Bacterial small subunit ribosomal RNA", at positions 524 to 776 of the family's 1533-position model. The record is from RNAcentral.
UACAGAGGUCUCAAGCGUUGUUCGGAUUCAUUGGGCGUAAAGGGUGUGUAGGUGGCGCGCUAAGUCGGGUGUGAAAUUUCGGAGCUUAACUCCGAAACUGCAUUCGAUACUGGCGUGCUUGAGGACUGGAGAGGAGACUGGAAUUUACGGUGUAGCAGUGAAAUGCGUAGAUAUCGCUUGGAACGCCGAAGGCGAAAGCAGGCUGCUGGGGACGCGCCGACGCUGAGACACGAAAGCCAGGGGAGCAAACGGG